Aegilops tauschii subsp. strangulata is the source of this 533-nucleotide non-coding RNA. NCBI's taxonomy places the organism in Eukaryota, Viridiplantae, Streptophyta, Magnoliopsida, Poales, Poaceae. The record is from RefSeq and is a predicted model, not a curated record.
UAUUGUGCUUGCAGCUUGAGAUGUACUUGGUCCAAAUGAAAAUCAUCAUUUUGAAGGGCAACUUCGCAUGGAAUUAGGAUCACUUAAUAAGGUUCUGGUUUCUUUUUCAAAUUCACUUGCUUUAUGCAUGAACCUAUUAUAGAUUUGUUGGUGUUGAUUUGCAGUAAGAGAAAAUGUAAUAUUGUUCUCAUCAAUCAUAGCAUGUGUAAUGCGUUAUAACAUCAGUUUCAUUGGAUUGGAAAAGGUGAUAAACAUGCAACCAUUCUUACUCGAUGAUAUGAAUACUUCAGGAGCAAUAGUGGCAUUUGUGUGCACAUUAGUAUUCCAUUAUGUAGUAAAGGAUAUGGUCUGGUAGUCAUUCUUUGUCGUUACUAGUACAAUGUCCGUGCGUUGCCACGGGCUGUUGAAAUAGUUUGCAAGAGUUAUAUAAAGACAAUGCAUGUUAAAUUUCACACGUACAGACAAUAUAACACAGACACAAUUAUUUAAUAAUUAAAGUACAUUUUUGCAAUGUAAAUUGCCAAAAAGAAAAA